CUAGCUAGCACAGAACUAUGCGCAUGCAUAUUAUACUUAUGUACGCCAGGCGUAUCACGCGCACUCUGAUCUGAGGAGAGCAAGAGGGAUAGAUCGUGUCAGGGUCAUGGAGUCCGCCGGCGCCGGCGGCCAGCAUAAGCCAGUGCAGGAGCACUGAGCAGUUCAACGUGUCUUGGUGCUUGGCCGCCUUCGAUCGAGGUGGAGUUUGUCCAGCCACCGGCGACGAUGUCUUGGCGCGCAGGCACCAUCUGUUUUUCUUGGCAUCGGAGUUGGUAUAUCCUUCAUAUUCCCUCCGACAUAGUUUAGAAGGCAUGAUUGAAAAAUCUCUGGGAUCAAGAUAGCCACGAUUGGUUGUGAGAUGUAGCAGGUGUAGAUGCUAAUGCGUCUAAUCAACUGAGAAAAUAAGCGGUUGAUGUUUCCACAGCCGAGUUAAUAACCAUCGCAUGCAUGUAUGCAUCAACUUCACCCGACGUGAACAACAAAUUAGAAGGACACAUGCAUGAGUAAUACUAGUACUAACUAGUCGACCCAUGCAUUCGCACGGCCGCAUAUAAAUUAUGAAAAUUAUGAACAUGAACCGCAC
Molecule: long non-coding RNA, 583 nt
Filed under: Hordeum vulgare
Lineage: Eukaryota; Viridiplantae; Streptophyta; Magnoliopsida; Poales; Poaceae
Description: long non-coding RNA (HVUL_LNC002607)
Source: RNAcentral